Molecule: ribosomal RNA, 468 nt
Filed under: uncultured bacterium
Lineage: Bacteria
Description: partial 16S ribosomal RNA
Rfam family: Bacterial small subunit ribosomal RNA
Source: RNAcentral
GACGAACGCUGGCGGCGUGCUUAACACAUGCAAGUCGAACGGAAAGGCCCUGCUUUUGUGGGGUGCUCGAGUGGCGAACGGGUGAGUAACACGUGAGUAACCUGCCCUUAACUUUGGGAUAACUUCAGGAAACUGGGGCGAAUACCGGAUAGGAUCUCCUGCUGCAUGUUGGGGGUUGGAAAGUUUCGGCGGUUGGGGAUGGACUCGCGGCUUAUCAGCUGGUUGGGGAGGUAGUGGCUUACCAAGGCUUUGACGGGUAGCCGGCCUGAGAGGGGGAACGGCCACAUUGGGACUGAGAUACGGCGCAGACUCCUACGGGAGGCAGCAGUGGGGAAUAUUGCACAAUGGGCGGAAGCCUGAUGCAGAAACGCCGCGUGCGGGAUGACGGGCUUCGGGUUGUAAACCGCUUUCGACUGUGACGAAGCGGGAGUGACGGUAAUGGGUAAAGAAGCACCGGCUAACUACGUG